Molecule: ribosomal RNA, 253 nt
Filed under: uncultured bacterium
Lineage: Bacteria
Description: partial 16S ribosomal RNA
Rfam family: Bacterial small subunit ribosomal RNA
Source: RNAcentral
UACGUAGGGUGCAGGCGUUAAUCGGAAUUACUGGGCGUAAAGCGUGCGCAGGCGGUCUAUUAAGACAGGUGUGAAAUCCCCGGGCUUAACCUGGGAACUGCAUUCGAGACUGUCUAGCUAGAGUAUGGGAGAGGGAAGUGGAAUUUCAGGUGUAGCGGUGAAAUGCGUAGAUAUCUGAAGGAACAUCAGUGGCGAAAGCGACUUCCUGGACCAAUACUGACGCUCAUGUGCGAAAGCGUGGGGAGCAAACAGG